AUUGAACGCUGGCGGCAUGCUUUACACAUGCAAGUCGAACGGUAACAGGCCUUCGGGUGCUGACGAGUGGCGAACGGGUGAGUAAUGCAUCGGAACGUGCCCAAUCGUGGGGAGUAACGUAGCGAAGUUACGCUAAUACCGCAUAAGCCCUCGAGGGGGAAAGGCAGGGGAGUCGCAAGACCUUGCGCGAAUGGAGCGGCCGAUGUCAGAUUAGCUAGUUGGUGGGGUAAAGGGACCGUACCAACGGCGACGAUCUGUAGCGGGUCGUGAGAGGAGUGAUCCGCCACCACUGGGACGUGAGACACGGCCC
Molecule: ribosomal RNA, 310 nt
Filed under: uncultured bacterium
Lineage: Bacteria
Description: bacterial SSU rRNA
Rfam family: Bacterial small subunit ribosomal RNA
Source: RNAcentral